RNAcentral lists this unclassified non-coding RNA (2251 nucleotides) under Hevea brasiliensis (rubber tree). The record is from RNAcentral. Lineage: Eukaryota; Viridiplantae; Streptophyta; Magnoliopsida; Malpighiales; Euphorbiaceae.
GCUUUUCCAGAAACAACUCCAAUCCUGCAAAAUCCAUGUACAAUCAUUUACAAAGCCUAGAUCAGUGUUAAAUCAGGCCAAGCACUCUGAAACAUUUGAAAUUUCCAGCUAGAAGAUUAUGCAAGGUGUGCAAGUGCAGACAACAGAAGCUGAAUCAAAAAUUCACAUGGAAGCCUACGCUUACAGUCUAAAAUAACAGAGCAACAGGAUUGUUAAAAAUCUAUAAGAUUUUCCAGUGUAGCAUGCAGGAUUUCCCCAGAUCAAAAUAAAAGUCCAAUUUUGACCUUCAAUCCCCAAAAAGAUGAGCAAACCAUUUAUUUGCAGCCAAGUAAGCCCCAUUAAAUUCCAAUAAGAAACCAACAAAUAAUUUGUAUAAACAUGUUGCAUAUUAAAAACCUAAGGAAACUUUACAGACAUGACACAUACGCAUCUUUCUGAUCCAGCAUGAUAUUUCACAUCAAUUGAGUGCUUAAGGAGAAGCACUGAUUAUCUUUUUUUCUUUUUCUUUUUUUUCUCUCAUGUGCUUUUAGUAAUUAAUCGCUCAUGACCUGAUCUGUUUUUAGUUUCAGUUUGGCAUACUUAAUGAUUGGUUUAAUUAGAUUCAGAAAUUCAGAUCGGGAACCUUGUGUGAUAGCGCUGGAUGAACUCUUCCUUUGCUUUAGAGAGAGUAGUUUCCUGCAAUACUUAUGGAAUUAAUUUCCUUGUUUUCAUUAGUCAUUAGAACUUUUAAAUAAUUAGUAUUGUGUUAUGCCCUUCUAGUGCCUGAGAUCACUUGUUACAAAAUAAAUUGCAGCACUCCUGGAAGUGUUGAUGGUCAUCCUAUCGUUAGCAGCAGGCUUCUGACAAAAAAUUUGGUCAUUUCACCUCUGUAUAGAUGCUCAUAAAAUUUAUUUGUUUACCACUUGCUAAUUCUAUAUUUUAGAUAGCUUGCCUUUGGAUUUGCUGUUAAUUAUCCUGGUUUUGUUUGAUAGCCUAAAGCUUUUUGAAUUUCUGUAAUUCAUAAGGUCAUUUUCUGAUGGCUCGAUCUGCAUUAGAUGAAAUGUCUGACUCGGGGGCUUUUUUGAGGACUGCUUCAACAUUCCGCAACUUUAUUUCACGAGACCCGAAUUGUCAAUAUCCAGCAGAAUCCGGAAGGUAUCAUCUUUAUAUAUCAUAUGCCUGUCCCUGGGCUUCCAGGUGCCUUGCAUACUUGAAGAUUAAAGGACUUGAGAAAGCUAUUAGUUUCACGUCUGCGAAACCCAUAUGGGAAAGAACCAAAGACAGUGAUGAACAUAUGGGAUGGGUUUUUCCUGCUUCAGAGACAGAGGAACCAGGAGCUGAGCCUGACCCUUUGAAUGGGGCAAAAAGUAUAAGGGAGCUUUAUGAGCUUGCAAGUACAAACUAUGCUGGAAAAUAUACAGUUCCUGUGCUAUGGGAUAAGAAGCUCAAGACAAUUGUUAAUAAUGAGAGUUCUGAGAUUAUUCGAAUGUUCAAUACUGAAUUUAAUGAUAUAGCUGAGAAUUCAGCUUUGGACCUAUAUCCUUCGCACUUGCAAACUCAGAUUGAUGAAACCAAUGAAUGGAUAUACAAUGGUAUAAAUAAUGGUGUUUAUAAAUGUGGGUUUGCAAGGAAGCAAGGGCCUUAUGAGGAGGUAAGCUAUUUAAUGGUGUAUUAUUUUGGGAUAAACGAGGCCAGGUAUGCAUUUAUUGAAUAUUUCUUUCCUUAGUUGAAAAUUUCAUUGGUCCGUCACUGCAGGCUGUUAAACUAUUGUAUGAAGCACUUGAUAAAUGUGACAGAAUACUUGGAAAGCAACGCUAUAUAUGUGGAAACACUCUGUCCGAAGCAGAUAUUCGGUUGUUUGUUUCCCUCAUAAGAUUUGAUGAGGUUUACGCAGUUCACUUCAAGUGCAACAAAAAGCUGCUAAGAGAGUACCCAAACCUGUUCAACUAUGCCAAAGACAUUUACCAAAUUCCUGGUAUGAGUAGCACUGUAAACAUGGAACAUAUUAAGCGUCAUUAUUAUGGAAGCCAUCCUUCUAUAAAUCCAUUUGGAACCAUUCCUCUUGGUCCAAAUAUCGACUUUUCUUCACCACAUGACAGAGAGAGGUUUUACUAGAUUAUGUGUGUCCGUGCACAUGCAUCUGAAGUAUGAAUGCUGGUUUCUUGGAAGACAGUGGAUUGUGUAUUGAUAUCAAGUCAUCGCAGAUACUGUGCUCUUAGCAUUGCCUGUAUGAGAUGCGUUGUUUCUCCUGACAUCAACUUUGAUAGGGUUU